CCAAGUGAUGAUAACCUUUUUGGAAAAGGAUUGUACUUUUACCUAGUUUUCCGGCGAUCUUCCCUCGCCUUUACCCAUUUUUUUCGUUUCUUUGUUGACAAGGAGAAAGUAUGCGCAAUUACUCUCUACUGUUAUAGCGGCUAUUGCCGUCCUUCAAAGGAGACACACGAUUAGCAUCCUUUAUGUAUUGGUUCGAGCAAUAAAGCCUCAACCAAGGUGAUGACAACACACACGCAUGCACUGAUCCGUUCGACUGGGUCUUGACGGUGGUGGGAUCGUUGGCCGCCGCCGCUCACGGCACUGCACUAAUUCACGGACAUCCGGAUACAAGAGAUGUUCGAUUUCAUGAGUUCAAAGAGGUUGAAGCGAAAGUUCCAUGCCUUGGACACGAGUUCCCCAUUGCUUACCAGUCAUCAAUAUCGAUUUCGUGCCUUGUUAGAAAUGUUGCCAUGAUGAAGUCAAGAAAGGAUACAAGAUAUGCAAUUAACUUAGUGGUCAUCCAUGACGGGACAAAAAUUCCUUGUUGAGCUUUGCAUAAUCUGAUGUCAUUUAAGCAGAAAUUUGGAGCUGAUACAAGGUAUUUCAAAGUUAAACACUUUGAUUUGUGUGUUUGUUUUACAACUGAGGCUAUCUUGUCCAUGUUAUGCUAUGGCUUGGUAACUCCAUUACUUGCAGAUGUUAGGUGAUAAUAAACUCUAUUUAUAAGUUAAGUUUUGUAUUUACUGGUUUUGGUAACUUUUGCCUAUAGGCUAUCUAAGGUUGAAUCAUUGGCUACUGGAAUUGUUAUUUAUGACUUUCAUUGGCCAAGCAUAACAAACUAAAUCGAGCCUUAAAUGCGAUCAUUAGACACUAAUCAAUAGAGAAAACAUGUGAUUAUUUAUUUUUGGGUAGGGAUUGAUAUAAAAUACCAGUAUACAUAGGGUGACUGAAAUCCAAUGGGUGUCUAGGUGAAAUUUUUGAGGGUUGUAAUUCAUGAGGGG
Long non-coding RNA from Rhododendron vialii, 980 nucleotides. RefSeq lists it as uncharacterized. Lineage: Eukaryota; Viridiplantae; Streptophyta; Magnoliopsida; Ericales; Ericaceae. The record is from RefSeq and is a predicted model, not a curated record. The transcript is spliced from 3 exons.